GCUCUCGACAGACGGCCAUCUGCGCGGGUCUCAGACGGGCGACAUUUACAUCGCGGCGCCUGUUAUCAACCUAACGACCAAAACCCGCAGCUGGAGCAAAUAACAUCUGCUCCCAUUUAAAGUAACUGUUUUUAUAUAAGUAAAUCAAGAAUUCCACCAAACAUGUCCUACAGAAGCAGCCGCAGGUCUCGCUCCCGUUCUCGUUCUCGCUCUCGCGACCGUGGUCGACGCGAUAGGGAUGACUGGGGCCGAGGUGGAGGGUAUGGUGGCAGCGGUGGAGGUGGGAGGCCGUCGCUGAAGGGAAGGCAGCCGGGAGAACGCCUACGGAAGCCAAAGUGGGACCUGUCCAGACUUGCCCCCUUCGAGAAGAACUUUUACCAGCCCACACCUGUUGUUGUUAACCGACAGCCCUAUGAAGUGGAACAAUACAGAAAUGAGAAGGAAAUCACACUUAGAGGAAAGAACAUUCCCAACCCCAUUCAGUUCUUCACUGACUACAAUUUCCCAGACUAUGUAAUGGCUGAAAUCCGUCGACAGGGCUAUGAAGCACCUACACCUAUUCAGGCACAAGGCUGGCCUAUUUCAUUACAAGGAAGGGAUUUUGUUGGUAUUGCACAGACUGGCUCAGGAAAGACCCUGGGUUACAUUCUACCAGCCAUCGUUCACAUCAAUCACCAACCAUAUUUGGAACGGGGAGAUGGCCCUAUUGCACUCAUUUUGGCUCCCACAAGAGAACUUGCCCAACAGAUCCUUACAGUUGCACAAGAUUUUGGUUCAUCUUCAAAGAUCCGCUCCACGUGUGUGUUCGGUGGUGCACCCAAAGGACCACAGAUUCGUGACUUGGAACGAGGGGUUGAGAUCUGUAUUGCCACACCAGGACGUCUCAUUGAUUUCUUAGAAGCAGGAAAAACCAACCUUCGCCGUUGUACAUAUUUAGUACUUGAUGAAGCAGACCGCAUGCUGGACAUGGGCUUUGAACCACAAAUCAGAAAAAUUGUAGAGCAGAUUCGGCCUGACCGACAAACUCUUAUGUGGUCUGCAACUUGGCCCAAAGAGGUGAGGAAUCUUGCCGAAGAUUUCUUAAAAGAAUACAUUCAGCUUAAUGUAGGCUCCCUAUCCCUCGCAGCCAACCACAACAUCCUCCAGAUCGUAGAUGUUUGUCAAGAGAUGGAAAAAGAUACAAAGCUGCGCCAGUUGCUCAAUGAGAUGGCGCAAGAGAGGGCUUACAAGACAAUAAUCUUUAUCGAAACGAAGCGGAAGGUGGAGGAUGUUACUCGUGGGUUGAGGAGUACUGGGUGGCCAGCAAUGUGUAUCCAUGGAGACAAAUCUCAACAAGAGAGAGACUGGGUUUUAAGUGAAUUCCGUUCAGGGAGGGCACCAAUUUUGGUAGCCACAGACGUUGCUGCUCGUGGGUUAGAGGCACUCAAAGCGAGAUAAUGCACGGAGGAUGUUUCGUUGCAUUAGGCUCCGGUGCCUCUGAGACUCGUCGUGCAUCACGAGCACGAAUACGCAUUGGCGACAAGUGUCCACUGGUGCCGGAAAGGUGGUCACGUUGCCCUGGCCAUCAGUUGUGGCAGAGGUCAACGAUGACCAGCGAUAGCGGCCGCCUGCAGCCUGUGUCGGUCCAGAACGACCCACUCUGAUGUGGAUGAUGUGAAGUUCGUGAUCAACUACGACUACCCAUCUUGCUCUGAGGAUUACGUUCACCGAAUUGGGCGAACUGGACGCUCAGACAAGACAGGAACUGCGUACACAUUCUUCACGGCAGAC
This 1770-nucleotide unclassified non-coding RNA is filed under the name Penaeus chinensis. Its description in RNAcentral is "probable ATP-dependent RNA helicase DDX17, transcript variant X2". Lineage: Eukaryota; Metazoa; Arthropoda; Malacostraca; Decapoda; Penaeidae. The record is from RNAcentral.